This 464-nucleotide ribosomal RNA is filed under the name uncultured bacterium. RNAcentral describes it as "partial 16S ribosomal RNA". It matches the Rfam family "Bacterial small subunit ribosomal RNA", at positions 338 to 795 of the family's 1533-position model. The record is from RNAcentral.
CCUACGGGAGGCAGCAGUAGGGAAUUUUCGUCAAUGGGCGCAAGCCUGAACGAGCAAUGCCGCGUGAACGAGGAAGGUCUUCGGGUCGUAAAGUUCUGUUGAAGGGGAAACAGAGCGGAGAGAGGAAAUGCUUUCUGAUUGAUAUUACCCUUCGAGGAAGUCACGGCUAACUCCGAGCCAGCAGCCGCGGUAAUACGUAGGUGGCGAGCGUUGUCCGGAUUGAUUGGGCGUAAAGGGUGCGUAGGCGGCCUGCUAAGUGUGGAGUGAAAGGUACCGGCUCAACCGGUACAGGUUCUGGAAACUGGCGGGCUAGAGAGCAGGAGAGGGCGGUGGAACUCGAGGUGUAGCGGUAAAAUGCGUAGAUAUAUGGAAGAACACCAGUGGCGAAGGCAGCAGCCUGGCCUGUUACUGACGCUGAGGCACGAAAGCGUGGGGAGCGAAUAGGAUUAGAUACCCGUGUAGUC